UCCCUGGUGGCUCAGUGGUAAAGAAUCUGCCUGCCAAACAGGAGACACGGGUUACAUCCCUGGCUCGGGAA
This is a transfer RNA of Ovis aries (sheep), 71 nucleotides long. It matches the Rfam family "tRNA". From Rfam's summary of the family: Transfer RNA (tRNA) molecules are approximately 80 nucleotides in length. Their secondary structure includes four short double-helical elements and three loops (D, anti-codon, and T loops). NCBI's taxonomy places the organism in Eukaryota, Metazoa, Chordata, Mammalia, Artiodactyla, Bovidae. The record is from Rfam.